RNAcentral lists this ribosomal RNA (440 nucleotides) under uncultured bacterium. RNAcentral's name for it is "partial 16S ribosomal RNA". It matches the Rfam family "Bacterial small subunit ribosomal RNA", at positions 338 to 795 of the family's 1533-position model. The record is from RNAcentral.
CCUACGGGCGGCAGCAGUGGGGAAUAUUGCACAAUGGGGGAAACCCUGAUGCAGCGACGCCGCGUGAGUGAAGAAGUAAUUCGUUAUGUAAAGCUCUAUCAGCAGGGAAGAAAAUGACGGUACCUGAGUAAGAAGCCCCGGCUAACUACGUGCCAGCAGCCGCGGUAAUCCGUAGGGGGCAAGCGUUAUCCGGAUUUACUGGGUGUAAAGGGAGCGUAGACGGCAGUGCAAGUCUGGAGUGAAAGGCGGGGGCUCAACCCCCCGACUGCUCUGGAAACUGUACGGCUUGAGUGCAGGAGAGGUAAGUGGAAUUCCGAGUGUAGCGGUGAAAUGCGUAGAUAUUAGGAGGAACACCAGUGGCGAAGGCGGCUUACUGGACUGUAACUGACGUUGAGGCUCGAAAGCGUGGGGAGCAAACAGGAUUAGAUACCCCUGUAGUC